ACUUCUGUAGAGUUAUCGGUGAGAAUCCGUUGUGAUCGUGUGAUCAUUGUGAUUGCGUGUCUCUUUCUUCAGUUAGCAUCCUGACUCAACGUGCCGUAUCCUCGCUCUGUGUCUCCAUCGAUAGUGUUGUCGGUUGAAAGCGGUUUAGACAACUCUUGCAAAUCAAAGCGAAGAAACAGUGACAUUGAAUGAGUACAGUGUGCUAACUGUUCCAAUGGUGCUUGGUCUACACUCGCAAUUUCCAAUUUACCAACAGGGCACUUGCAAAUCCUCUCGACCGACCAAGUGCAGAUGUUUACGCAAGUAGAGAUCUGCAGAGUGCAGAUUAUGCACAGCAGUACUUUGAACCAAACUGUAAUAUUAGCUGCUGGUAAUUUAGCCUUGACGAUCAGGAUCAAGACGAACGAGCCUCUCGCUUUCCCAGUGUGUAGGUGGGGCGGAAUUCACGGGGAAGGUCGC
Molecule: long non-coding RNA, 459 nt
Filed under: Neodiprion pinetum (white pine sawfly)
Lineage: Eukaryota; Metazoa; Arthropoda; Insecta; Hymenoptera; Diprionidae
Description: uncharacterized LOC124211646
Source: RNAcentral